GAAGAAAGAGUGAGGCGUGCUUAACACAUGCAAGUCGAACGGAAAGGCCCUGCUUUUGUGGGGUGCUCGAGUGGCGAACGGGUGAGUAACACGUGAGUAACCUGCCCUUGACUUUGGGAUAACUUCAGGAAACUGGGGCUAAUACCGGAUAGGAGCUCCUGCUGCAUGGUGGGGGUUGGAAAGUUUCGGCGGUUGGGGAUGGACUCGCGGCUUAUCAGCUUGUUGGUGGGGUAGUGGCUUACCAAGGCUUUGACGGGUAGCCGGCCUGAGAGGGUGACCGGCCACAUUGGGACUGAGAUACGGCCCAGACUCCUACGGGAGGCAGCAGUGGGGAAUAUUGCACAAUGGGCGGAAGCCUGAUGCAGCAACGCCGCGUGCGGGAUGACGGCCUUCGGGUUGUAAACCGCUUUCGCCUGUGACGAAGCGUGAGUGACGGUAAUGGGUAAAGAAGCACCGGCUAACUACGUG
Molecule: ribosomal RNA, 468 nt
Filed under: uncultured bacterium
Lineage: Bacteria
Description: partial 16S ribosomal RNA
Rfam family: Bacterial small subunit ribosomal RNA
Source: RNAcentral